UACGUAGGGUGCAAGCGUUUAAUCGGAAUUACUGGGCGUAAAGCGCACGUAGGCGGCUUUGUAAGUUAGAGGUGAAAGCCCGGAGCUUAACUCCGGAACUGCCUUUAAGACUGCAUCGCUAGAAUCGUGGAGAGGUGAGUGGAAUUCCGAGUGUAGAGGUGAAAUUCGUAGAUAUUCGGAAGAACACCAGUGGCGAAGGCGACUCACUGGACACGUAUUGACGCUGAGGUGCGAAAGCGUGGGGAGCAAACAGG
RNAcentral lists this ribosomal RNA (254 nucleotides) under uncultured bacterium. RNAcentral describes it as "partial 16S ribosomal RNA". It matches the Rfam family "Bacterial small subunit ribosomal RNA", at positions 524 to 776 of the family's 1533-position model. The record is from RNAcentral.